GACGAACGCUGGCGGCGUGCUUAACACAUGCAAGUCGAACGGAAAGGCCUCUUUCGGGGGGUACUCGAGUGGCGAACGGGUGAGUAACACGUGAGUAACCUGCCCUUGACUUUGGGAUAACUUCAGGAAACUGGGGCUAAUACCGGAUAGGAGCUCCUGCUGCAUGGGGGGGGUUGGAAAGUUUCGGCGGUUGGGGAUGGACUCGCGGCUUAUCAGCUUGUUGGUGGGGUAGAGGCUUACCAAGGCUUUGACGGGUAGCCGGCCUGAGAGGGUGACCGGCCACAUUGGGACUGAGAUACGGCCCAGACUCCUACGGGAGGCAGCAGUGGGGAAUAUUGUACAAUGGGUGGAAGCCUGAUGCAGCAACGCCGUGUGCGGGAUGACGGCCUUCGGGUUGUAAACCGCUUUCGCUCAUGACGAAGCUUUGUGUGACGGUAGUGGGUAAAGAAGCACCGGCUAACUACGUG
Molecule: ribosomal RNA, 467 nt
Filed under: uncultured bacterium
Lineage: Bacteria
Description: partial 16S ribosomal RNA
Rfam family: Bacterial small subunit ribosomal RNA
Source: RNAcentral